This 28-nucleotide small RNA is filed under the name Bombyx mori (domestic silkworm). Its description in RNAcentral is "ovarian small RNA-37537". Lineage: Eukaryota; Metazoa; Arthropoda; Insecta; Lepidoptera; Bombycidae. The record is from RNAcentral.
UUCUGGAUUUAGUACAGAGCAUUCGAUA